GAAGAGGACCCUGGGAAGGUGGCUGCCGCUUCACUCCUAGAGUGAAAUCCUCGCAGCCCUGCCCUCGCGGGCGGAGCAGAGACGCCGCCGCUUGGCCGGUUCUCGCCUGUCACACAAAGCCGCCGAGGGUCGGCUGCGCCCCUGGCAAGGCCGUAGGGCUGGGGAUACUGAGUAUGACAGGCGAGGUCCCUGCUCUCAAGAACUUACGUGGGUGAGAAGGGGAGACGAGACAAACAGAUGGAGCAACUCAACCCAAAAAGGUUGGUCUGUAUGGUGACGGAAUGUGGUCUCCCAGUUUUCAGCAUAGCACUCAUUCAGCUAUUCUACUCUUCAGAAAGCAGGAGGGAUGUGCCCUAAAGUGGAUUAUUGAAAUGAUGAAAGCCACUGAGGAAGAGCCAGAGAAUUCUCAUAGCUGUGAUUAGACAUCAACCUGGGGCAUGCUAAACAUUUCAGCCUGGACACCCUGAGAAGAGCCAGUGCUAUUGGUGACAGCUGCUUCUGUGAGGGCUUUUGCUUGGCCAGAGAGGCAGGACCUUCUCCCUGGCAUUUUGAGGAGUGGUGCCGGGUGGGCAGUGACUGCACUAGCAACAGUCUAUACCAAGAGAAGGCUGCAAAUUCCCAGAGAAGAAAGGCAGCGAGGCCAAGAAACGCUGCCGCCGCUUAACAAGUGAAGACGCAUACUGGAGAAUAGGAACUGAACAUGCGAAGGAGUUUGGGCUUUACUGCCUUCUCUCCUAGCAUUGGACAGAUCUUCUGUGCUGUGAUUAUUCUCCAUGAAUCAUCAUCCAUAGAAAGUGACUGAGGCAAUAGAGAGUGAAUAAUGAAUCCCUCAAAUAGUCUUUUGUGUUUCUGCCUGGAGGGUUUUGGAAAUAACUUGCAUCUUAAUCUUUCCGACUUAGAAUCAUAGAAUUUGGGAGCUGAAAAGGACCUUCAUCAGGGCAUGUGGCCUCACAGAAAGACUGGAAGAAAAGAUUUGUGGGUAUGAGCCUCUGGUUCAUCACUAAAAAUAGCCCUAGUCUAACAUAUAUUGGAGGCUUUCCUUGUGUCAGGUACUCAUUUAUUCUUCCCAAACCUUGGGAGGUAGGUGCUGCUAUUCCUCCGUUCUGCAGAGGAGGAAGAGAGAUGAGGAGACAGUAGAUCACCAGAGGGCACCGUGAGGGGUGUGCUGGAAACAUCAUGUGGAACAGGCUCUGGUUCCAGAAUCCACAUCCUCUCGGUCAUUCCACUCCCUCAUCAAGUGGCUUUGGACAAGUAAUUUAACUUCUUUGGAUCUCAGUUUUCUCCUCCAUGAUCUCUAAAGUUUUAAAAUUACUAACAGUCUGCAUCUGCCACCCAAGCAUGUGAUUUUACAAGUCAGAAAAGUGUAGCGCAGAAAUGUUAAGUGACUUGCCCUAGGUCACCCAGGUUGCUAAGGGCAGAAUCAGCACAGAAACCCAGGCCCAGUGACCACUGCCCCCAGGCAAGACCUCCUUCCCUUCCACGGCACUUUGGCAGGUGUUCUAGGGGAAUCCAACUCCUUGCCUUAGAGGAGACCUGUUCAAUGAUAUCAGAUAGACUGGAGAUGUUACGUUUUGGUGUGGCCAAUCAUAACACCAGGAUGAGCUUAGGAGGCUGGCGAUAUUUGUCUGUCUAAGCACCUCCAACCUAUCUAUCUGUCUGCUGUUUGUCUAUCUUUCUCAGGUUAUGCAUAGUGAUCAAACCCCGCCUGGUAACUGUAGGGAAAGAGCAUGACUGGUGUGUUACAUCUACGCACGCCCCCUGGUGGUAUUUCCAGUUGUUUGUCCUCUUCAUGCAAAUGUUGCCACCUUGUGCCAGCUCUCUCACUCAGCUUCCUUCAUGACAACAGUGGUUGCAAUUCUGCUCCUCUCUCUGCCUUCCCCUGUCCUUGGCUCCCCAUGUCCAGAAUCUGAUCAUUUACUGGUGUGCACCCUGGGAUGUGAUGUGUGCUUUGGGAGGAGACAGGGCCCAACAGUAUCUCAGCUGUGCUCUGGUAAUCAGUGUGCACCACAUUACAAGCAUCCUCAUCCCAGUAUCCUCCCUAUUGAAAAAGAGAUGGGAAAGGGGUGGAUGUGUCAAUAAACACAACAUUGAAGGCAUCUGAAAUAGAACAAGGACAUCCUGGGUGAGGCAUU
RNAcentral lists this non-coding RNA (2132 nucleotides) under Pongo abelii (Sumatran orangutan). Lineage: Eukaryota; Metazoa; Chordata; Mammalia; Primates; Hominidae. The record is from RNAcentral.